GAUGAAGAACGCAGCGAACUGCGAUAAGUAAUGUUAAUUGCAGAAUUCAGUGAAUCAUCGAGUCUUUGAACGCACAUUGCGCCCCCUGGCAUUCCGGGGGGCAUGCCUGUCCGAGCGUCAUUGCUGCCCUUCAAGCCCGGCUUGUGUGUUGGGUCGUCGUCCCCCCCGGGGGACGGGCCCGAAAGGCAGCGGCGGCACCGCGUCCGGUCCUCGAGCGUAUGGGGCUUUGUCACCCGCUCGAUUAGGGCCGGCCGGGCGCCAGCCGGCGUCUCCAACCUUCUAUUUUACCAGGUUGACCUCGGAUCAGGUAGGGAUACCCGCUGAACUUAAGCAUAUCAAAAGCGGAGGA
This 349-nucleotide unclassified non-coding RNA is filed under the name soil metagenome. RNAcentral's name for it is "partial contains 5.8S ribosomal RNA, internal transcribed spacer 2, and large subunit ribosomal RNA". The stretch from base 1 to 120 matches the Rfam family "5.8S ribosomal RNA", at positions 35 to 154 of the family's 154-position model. The record is from RNAcentral.